GCUGCAGCGUGACGUAUAAUCUAGUGGACGGAACGGAUCAACAACAGCGAGUCAGCCACCUUGGUAGCCAACAGCCGAAACAUUUAGACUGUUUCUGUGCAUAUUUGCCUCUGUGUUUUAAAUAUACUUCUGACAUCUAGUUAAUUGCCCCCAUUUAAAUGUUAUAGGUACAUUGUUAGUCAACUAGCUGGCUUGAUAAGUUAGCCUAGCACUAAACUAGUCGCUCAUGCUAACUAGCUAGCUAACAUCCCCGAACAUGAGCUCACUGAUGUAUUCCUCGCCUACUAAAGAAGGAUAGGUCUGCUGGACGGAGAAAGAAGCUCUGUGGCUGAACAUUGUCAUGAAAGAGGAGAAGGAAGACGCGUUCAGAGUGAAGGAGGAGGCGUUCAGAGUGAAGGAGGAGGGGGAUGUUACUGUAAAAGAAGAGGAGGAAGAGAAAGAAGAGGAUGCAGUUUUUGGAGUGAAGAAAGGGAGAGAUAACGGUCAUAUUGACAGAGGAGUCAGGAGAUCUGAUUACCACCAGAGAGGGACCAGACUCUCACUCUGACAGCGGGGAGACUCCUUCAAGGGAACCAGACCCAGAGACGCCCAAACCAGCGAGACAACACCACUGUUCCCAGUGUGAAAAGAGUUUUAAGUGGUUAAGGAACCUGAAAGUACAUGAGAGAACGCAUACAGGAGAAAACCCUUACGAAUGCUCCCACUGUGGAAAGAGUUUUACCAAGUUAGGGAACCUAAAAGAGCAUGAGAGGACACACACAAGA
Salmo salar (Atlantic salmon) is the source of this 764-nucleotide non-coding RNA. The record is from RefSeq and is a predicted model, not a curated record. Lineage: Eukaryota; Metazoa; Chordata; Actinopteri; Salmoniformes; Salmonidae.